This is a long non-coding RNA of Salmo salar (Atlantic salmon), 2688 nucleotides long. RefSeq lists it as uncharacterized. NCBI's taxonomy places the organism in Eukaryota, Metazoa, Chordata, Actinopteri, Salmoniformes, Salmonidae. The record is from RefSeq and is a predicted model, not a curated record.
CCAGGAUACUUUGCGAAUCAAAGAUGGUGGCUUGCUUAACAACGACCGUGUCAAAUAGUAUUUUCUUAUACAUUUCUUGCGUAAUUGAUCCGAUAGUUAUCUUGAAUGUAAGUACAACAAAAUCCCUAAAUGCUACGAGGACAGAGGAUGGUAGGGCAUGCAUGCUUUGGAAUCAGGGAGGACACCAACGCAUGUCUCCAACACGACGACGUUGUAAAGAUUAAGCUGAUGCCUGACUGAAAACCUGGAGAUCUUCACUGAUUCUGAGAGGUGACAUGGCCACAAACAGUACCUGGGACACCUUCUAGGGCUACCGCUUUCUAGAGGACAGCCAGAGGGUGGUCAAGACAUCGGCCGCAACGUCAUUUUUUGUGUGUCUGCUCUGCUGCACCUGGGAGUUAAAGUAAAAAGCUGAGGGAUGGGGCUGGAGAAAUGUAACCGCUCUCAAAUUCAUAGACAGCGUUACGGAUGCAAGGACUGAUCAUCGCGCCGCCUCCUAAAACCCCCAUAAGAGGAGAUGACCCAAAGUUCCUUGCCUAAGACCUCCUCCAAUGGGUUUUGAGAAGGAAGUGAAGAGUUGAGCAGAGAUUCAUUGGGACAGGGCUAAUGUCAUUGUUUUAGGUGGAAUCUUAUGUCAAAUGAUACAUUUAUUCUGUUCGCACUUACUGUAAAUCUUUGUUCUACUUUGUGCUCUUUCCUCAGAUGGCUCUGGCUUGCUGAUAAUAUCUGCUCUGAUGAGACUCCCUAUGCAAUUUGACUCUAUUACUGACUAUUCAAUAAAACUUCCAAUGUCAACUAUAAAUCAUUUUAGAUUCUGUCAUUGAUAGAUAAUAGUAGUUCCUAAUCAGACAAUUACUAUUUUUUUAAAUCUGUUUUCCUCAGUGCAAUGUUUGGUGAAUGCAUGGUGUUUUGUUCUCAGCCCUCCUUUGAAUGCUGUGUCUACUGAUUCAGUGAGUGAGUGAAUGGUGGGGAGGGUUUGAGGGUGUGUGCGUUGAUAGAGCAAGGUAUAGUGUACCUAUUAUAAUUUAUUUCUCAAUUCAUGUGGUUGGUUACUUCCUCUAACAUAUAGCAGUAUUCAAUCAUCUUAUAGUUAAUAAACUUAUCAUUAUAGCAUCUGUGUUAUAUUAUAUAGGAUAUGCACACAAAUAGUUGGUCAAACCCUAACAAAGUGCAAGAGAUCCGUGAUGAGAUUAUCAGUGACAUUAAUUCAACACUUAAUCCUUAUGUAUGGAACUAACUAGUUUCUGAUCUCCCUCUAUUUUCUACAGCUCGAAGUUUUUACUUUACACUUAUUUUUCUUAAAACUGCAUUGUUGGUUAAGGGCUUGUAAGUAAGCAUUUCACCAUAAGGUCUACAGCUGUUGUAUUCGGCUUAUGUGACAAAUACAAUUUCAUUUGAGAUAACAGGUCUAGAUUCCGGGGCAGGAAAGGCUACUAAUGGACCAACAUUGGAAAUCUCUGGAACAAUGACAGCACUGAAAUGAUUAAUUGUAAAUAGUAGUUAAACUGACUUAAAUGGGUCAGUAUGGGGAUUGUAAUUUAUUAUGCUAACUUCACUUGAGAACUUGAUUGAGGUUGUUCUGUAGAGAAGAUAGUCAGUGGGGUAAAGUACUUAAGUAAAAAUACUUUUUUGGGGGUAUCUGUACUUUACUUUUGAUAUUUUUGGCAACUUUUACUUCACUACAUUCCUAAUGAAAAUAAUUUACUUUUUACACCAUACAUUUUCCCUGACACCCAAAAGUACUUGUUACAUUUUGACAGGAAAAUAGUGAAAUUCACACACUUAUCAAGAGAACAUCCCUACUGCCUCUGAUCUGGUGGACUCACUAAACAUAAAUGCUUCGUUUAUAGAUUGUCUUGAGUGUUGGGGUGUGCCCCUGGCUAUCAGUCAAUAAAAAAUAACACUGUGCCGUCAGGUUUGCUUAAUAUAAGGAACUUAAUGAUCCAUAUUCUUACUUUUGAUACUUAAGUACAUUUUUAAAAUUCCAUUUACUUUUGUACUUAAGCAUAUUUAAAACCAAAUACUAGACUUUUACUCAAGUAGUAUUUUACUGGGUGACUCACUUUUACUUGAGUCAUUUUCUAUUGAGGCAUCUUUACUUUUACUCAAGUAUGACAACUGCGUACUUUUCCACCACUGGAUAUAGUGAUCAAAGAAUGUUUAGUAGACUUUUUUCCCUCCUGCCAUGAUGGGUAGAAACUAAAGUGUUGCUGUGAAUAGGCCUACCACAAUUCCAACUAAAGACAUUUGCAUGUGUGUGGGAGAACUCUAUGCUGGGCUGUACUUCUGCUUCCAUGUUCUGCAAUGAGCAAACUUCAAGAAACUCUAAAGCAGGGAUGUACGGAGAAAAAAAUGUAUGAAAUGUAUGCAUUCACUACUGUAAGUCGCUCUGGAUAAGAGCGUCUGCUAAAUGACUAAAAUGUCAAAUGUGUAUUCAUUAUGGAAAAUGUUGUUUAAGAACAAAAUGGAAACAGAACGAAACGGGGAGGGACCUACCUGAAUUUGUCUAAUGGAAACUCUCCUAAACGGUUUCUGUUGUGAAACGUUUUGAAAUAGAAUUGGCGUAAUGAUUACACCCAGGACUGUCCUCCCCCUUGACUGCUCUGAAGAUAGAUUUCUAAAUUGUGCAUGUGUUUUGUACAACUGGGUGUAAUAAAUGUAUCAAUAAAACGGAUGAAGUGUUGCGAA